UAAUAAAAUAUGACCCCAUUAAGGUAUAAUUCUUUGUACGCCGGAUGGGCCCUUGUAACUAGACCAUAACUCUAUCGGAUAAACUUAUGUAAGAAAAGAAUGAAAGUACCAGUACCAGAUUAAGAUGAGGCAAGGAAGUGAUCUUAUACUCGUGCAUAACCCAACGACUACUCUCACCCUUGGCUUUAGGAGCAUCAAGGUCAUCGAACCAGAAGACCCUGACUUCUCCAAUCUUGUUUCUACUCUGAUCUGAUUACCGUUUUAACGCCACUGUUUUUCCAUUUCCAAGUUUUGAUACUUCUCUUCCUGGCUUAUGUUUUAAUUUCUUACGCUUUCUCACAUAUAAAAAUGGUAGUUUUCUCAGAAAAUUAAUUAAAAGUUGUAUCUAUCACUGGCUUAGUGGGUCAUUAAAUUACGGCACAUGAACCUGAUACAACAUUAGUGUAACAGAGUUGAAAUAUGUGGUAUGAGUUAAAUGAUAAUUCACAAAAACAAUUGUUAUGAUAAUACUAGAAUGUCAACCCGUACGUAGUACGGGUAAAAGAAAACUAUUGUAUAUGGUAGGUGACUAAUUUUUUGAUUGGUUAAAAAUACGUUGAUAAUAGUUU
This 608-nucleotide small RNA is filed under the name Arabidopsis thaliana (thale cress). RNAcentral's name for it is "ATSL190720". Lineage: Eukaryota; Viridiplantae; Streptophyta; Magnoliopsida; Brassicales; Brassicaceae. The record is from RNAcentral.